Drosophila bipectinata is the source of this 659-nucleotide non-coding RNA. NCBI's taxonomy places the organism in Eukaryota, Metazoa, Arthropoda, Insecta, Diptera, Drosophilidae. The record is from RefSeq and is a predicted model, not a curated record.
CAGCAAGUUGUGUUUUUUGAUUCUCCGUCGUUUCUGAAUUGUUAUAUAUCGGUAUCUUGCAUACUUACACAAUUGUGCCCACGGAUAUAUGUACAUAAAAUAUAUGUGCCCAUUGCAAAAGUGUUUAAAUACAAAUACAUAUGUAUAUUGGAUUCAGUUUCGAAAGCCUUCAAUGUGUGUGUGCGCCGAAAACUUAGUUUUUUCAAAAUCAUAAUUUGCUACGACUGAAAAAAUUCCUAAAUUCAUUACCAGCGUUAACGUAAAGUUGUGAAAUACGGCAUAGACGGAAUACUUUCCGGCGCUUACCGAAACGUAAGCGAACAAAUCAAGCAACGAAAAUAGUUACAGCAUUUUAUUUAAAAAGUGCCCACACCCAAAGUCGAUUUUUUCAAUGCAUACAUGUACAUACUAAACUUUGGCCCGUAGUUAAUUCUCAUACGCACUGGAUGCCAGUAAGCAGUGGGGUACCAUCCCGGCACGCUUCAAACUAGGCUAUAGAAAAAUCGAAUUUUAGAAAAAAUUUGGUUGCUUGGCGUGUGCAUCUAAAAAGGACUUUAUAGCAGUAUUAUAUCUACAGACACUUAUUGAACUUCUCCCUCUUUAAUUCUGUCUCUUGGCCAAGUUUUCAUCAAAGAAGUAAUGAUUAAUUGGCUUAAAGU